UUUGUUCUUGUUUGGUUAGUUGUUUAGUUCCGUGAAACACUCUUGUUGUUUGCAGAAUCUGCCAAUUGUUCCGUCUGAUGGUCCAAUCACAACUGUAAGAAAGACAACUCUUCCAGUGGAAGAUAUAACAAAGGCGUUGGGGAAUAAGGGCUUUGAGGUGAUAUCAUCAGAUGAUGCAGGUCGAUUUGUGUGCAACUAUGUCUAUUACCACUCUCUAAGAUUUGCGGAGCAGAAUAAGACCAAGUCACUCUUUGUUCACGUUCCUCUUUUCGUUGCCGUGGAUGAAGAAACCCAAAUGAGAUUCACGGUUUCUCUGCUGGAGGUACUCGCUUCUGUUUGCAAGUAAUGUUAUCCCAAAUGUGGAUAUUCUUGUUCAUGAAAUGCUCGUCAUGGACUGAUUUGUCUCCCCCACCAAAAAGUUGUCUAUCAAUAAAUGGAAUAUAAGUUCAGUUCUCUACUACAUUCAUUUGCUUCUUCAAAUGUGUUCGCUUAAUGAAAUGAAAUAUGCCUACGUUCCACUGGAUU
Non-coding RNA from Camelina sativa (false flax), 525 nucleotides. The record is from RefSeq and is a predicted model, not a curated record. NCBI's taxonomy places the organism in Eukaryota, Viridiplantae, Streptophyta, Magnoliopsida, Brassicales, Brassicaceae.